This 388-nucleotide long non-coding RNA is filed under the name Phoenix dactylifera (date palm). RNAcentral describes it as "long non-coding RNA (PDAC_LNC014808)". The record is from RNAcentral. Lineage: Eukaryota; Viridiplantae; Streptophyta; Magnoliopsida; Arecales; Arecaceae.
AUUCAUUCUGAGACGUCCAUGAGAAAGGAGAAGGGUGCAUGAGAUCAAACAUAAAGUAUAAUAUUCAUUAAAUCUGCUUUAAAGUACAUGUUUUGAUUAUGAAUAUUCUUGAUCAAUAGGAUCAUAACCAUCCAUAGUGUUAUCUCUUUCUUUUAAUGUGACAGGUACUCACAACGUUAUUAUAAGUCCUAAAAAUAUAAUUUGGGUGUAUUAUAUGUAAUAAUAAUUCCGAUCUUUUCCUGAAAAGCACAGCUAACAAGGUUUGCACGUUGCACUCUCUCUCGUACAUCCUAUCUCCUUCUGCAUUCUCCCAAGUAUUUCCACCUGGAAGAUGGUGAUUGCCAUAACACCUCCCAAGGGGGCCAUUCAAUAAAUCUAGGGGGCAGAG